GCCCAGGUGGUGAAAUUGGUAGACGCGCUGGCUUCAGGUGCCAGUCCUCGCAAGGGGGUGAAGGUUCGAGUCCUUUCCUGGGCACCA
RNAcentral lists this transfer RNA (87 nucleotides) under Fimbriimonadaceae bacterium. RNAcentral describes it as "tRNA-Leu". It matches the Rfam family "tRNA". From Rfam's summary of the family: Transfer RNA (tRNA) molecules are approximately 80 nucleotides in length. The record is from RNAcentral. Lineage: Bacteria; Bacillati; Armatimonadota; Fimbriimonadia; Fimbriimonadales; Fimbriimonadaceae.